GGGUUGUGAGGUUAAGCGACUAAGCGUACACGGUGGAUGCCCUGGCAGUCAGAGGCGAUGAAGGACGUGCUAAUCUGCGAUAAGCGUCGGUAAGGUGAUAUGAACCGUUAUAACCGGCGAUUUCCGAAUGGGGAAACCCAGUGUGUUUCGACACACUAUCAUUAACUGAAUCCAUAGGUUAAUGAGGCGAACCGGGGGAACUGAAACAUCUAAGUACCCCGAGGAAAAGAAAUCAACCGAGAUUCCCCCAGUAGCGGCGAGCGAACGGGGAGCAGCCCAGAGCCUGAAUCAGUGUGUGUGUUAGUGGAAGCGUCUGGAAAAGCGCGCGAUACAGGGUGACAGCCCCGUACACAAAAAUGCACAUGCUGUGAGCUCGAUGAGUAGGGCGGGACACGUGGUAUCCUGUCUGAAUAUGGGGGGACCAUCCUCCAAGGCUAAAUACUCCUGACUGACCGAUAGUGAACCAGUACCGUGAGGGAAAGGCGAAAAGAACCCCGGCGAGGGGAGUGAAAAAGAACCUGAAACCGUGUACGUACAAGCAGUGGGAGCACGCUUCGGCGUGUGACUGCGUACCUUUUGUAUAAUGGGUCAGCGACUUAUAUUCUGUAGCAAGGUUAACCGAAUAGGGGAGCCGAAGGGAAACCGAGUCUUAACUGGGCGUUAAGUUGCAGGGUAUAGACCCGAAACCCGGUGAUCUAGCCAUGGGCAGGUUGAAGGUUGGGUAACACUAACUGGAGGACCGAACCGACUAAUGUUGAAAAAUUAGCGGAUGACUUGUGGCUGGGGGUGAAAGGCCAAUCAAACCGGGAGAUAGCUGGUUCUCCCCGAAAGCUAUUUAGGUAGCGCCUCGUGAAUUCAUCUCCGGGGGUAGAGCACUGUUUCGGCAAGGGGGUCAUCCCGACUUACCAACCCGAUGCAAACUGCGAAUACCGGAGAAUGUUAUCACGGGAGACACACGGCGGGUGCUAACGUCCGUCGUGAAGAGGGAAACAACCCAGACCGCCAGCUAAGGUCCCAAAGUCAUGGUUAAGUGGGAAACGAUGUGGGAAGGCCCAGACAGCCAGGAUGUUGGCUUAGAAGCAGCCAUCAUUUAAAGAAAGCGUAAUAGCUCACUGGUCGAGUCGGCCUGCGCGGAAGAUGUAACGGGGCUAAACCAUGCACCGAAGCUGCGGCAGCGACGCUGAUGCGUUGUUGGGUAGGGGAGCGUUCUGUAAGCCUGUGAAGGUGUGCUGUGAGGCAUGCUGGAGGUAUCAGAAGUGCGAAUGCUGACAUAAGUAACGAUAAAGCGGGUGAAAAGCCCGCUCGCCGGAAGACCAAGGGUUCCUGUCCAACGUUAAUCGGGGCAGGGUGAGUCGACCCCUAAGGCGAGGCCGAAAGGCGUAGUCGAUGGGAAACAGGUUAAUAUUCCUGUACUUGGUGUUACUGCGAAGGGGGGACGGAGAAGGCUAUGUUGGCCGGGCGACGGUUGUCCCGGUUUAAGCGUGUAGGCUGGUUUUCCAGGCAAAUCCGGAAAAUCAAGGCUGAGGCGUGAUGACGAGGCACUACGGUGCUGAAGCAACAAAUGCCCUGCUUCCAGGAAAAGCCUCUAAGCAUCAGGUAACAUCAAAUCGUACCCCAAACCGACACAGGUGGUCAGGUAGAGAAUACCAAGGCGCUUGAGAGAACUCGGGUGAAGGAACUAGGCAAAAUGGUGCCGUAACUUCGGGAGAAGGCACGCUGAUAUGUAGGUGAAGUCCCUUGCGGAUGGAGCUGAAAUCAGUCGAAGAUACCAGCUGGCUGCAACUGUUUAUUAAAAACACAGCACUGUGCAAACACGAAAGUGGACGUAUACGGUGUGACGCCUGCCCGGUGCCGGAAGGUUAAUUGAUGGGGUUAGCGGUAACGCGAAGCUCUUGAUCGAAGCCCCGGUAAACGGCGGCCGUAACUAUAACGGUCCUAAGGUAGCGAAAUUCCUUGUCGGGUAAGUUCCGACCUGCACGAAUGGCGUAAUGAUGGCCAGGCUGUCUCCACCCGAGACUCAGUGAAAUUGAACUCGCUGUGAAGAUGCAGUGUACCCGCGGCAAGACGGAAAGACCCCGUGAACCUUUACUAUAGCUUGACACUGAACAUUGAGCCUUGAUGUGUAGGAUAGGUGGGAGGCUUUGAAGUGUGGACGCCAGUCUGCAUGGAGCCGACCUUGAAAUACCACCCUUUAAUGUUUGAUGUUCUAACGUUGACCCGUAAUCCGGGUUGCGGACAGUGUCUGGUGGGUAGUUUGACUGGGGCGGUCUCCUCCUAAAGAGUAACGGAGGAGCACGAAGGUUGGCUAAUCCUGGUCGGACAUCAGGAGGUUAGUGCAAUGGCAUAAGCCAGCUUGACUGCGAGCGUGACGGCGCGAGCAGGUGCGAAAGCAGGUCAUAGUGAUCCGGUGGUUCUGAAUGGAAGGGCCAUCGCUCAACGGAUAAAAGGUACUCCGGGGAUAACAGGCUGAUACCGCCCAAGAGUUCAUAUCGACGGCGGUGUUUGGCACCUCGAUGUCGGCUCAUCACAUCCUGGGGCUGAAGUAGGUCCCAAGGGUAUGGCUGUUCGCCAUUUAAAGUGGUACGCGAGCUGGGUUUAGAACGUCGUGAGACAGUUCGGUCCCUAUCUGCCGUGGGCGCUGGAGAACUGAGGGGGGCUGCUCCUAGUACGAGAGGACCGGAGUGGACGCAUCACUGGUGUUCGGGUUGUCAUGCCAAUGGCACUGCCCGGUAGCUAAAUGCGGAAGAGAUAAGUGCUGAAAGCAUCUAAGCACGAAACUUGCCCCGAGAUGAGUUCUCCCUGACUCCUUGAGAGUCCUGAAGGAACGUUGAAGACGACGACGUUGAUAGGCCGGGUGUGUAAGCGCAGCGAUGCGUUGAGCUAACCGGUACUAAUGAACCGUGAGGCUUAACCUUACAACGCCGAAGGUGUUU
Molecule: ribosomal RNA, 2933 nt
Filed under: Escherichia coli
Lineage: Bacteria; Pseudomonadati; Pseudomonadota; Gammaproteobacteria; Enterobacterales; Enterobacteriaceae
Description: 23S ribosomal RNA
Rfam family: Bacterial large subunit ribosomal RNA
Source: RNAcentral